ACCGUGGUAAUUCUAGAGCUAAUACAUGCUAAAAAUCCCGACUUCUGGAAGGGAUGUAUUUAUUAGAUAAAAAGCCAAUAGCCCGCAAGGGUUUUUCACUGGUGAAUCAUGAUAACUUUUCGAAUCGCAUGGUCUUGUACCGGCGAUGAAUCAUUCAAAUUUCUGCCCUAUCAACUUUCAAUGGUAGGAUAGAGGCCUACCAUGGUUUUAACGGGUAACGGGGAAUUAGGGUUCGAUUCCGGAGAGGGAGCCUGAGAAACGGCUACCACAUCCAAGGAAGGCAGCAGGCGCGCAAAUUACCCAAUCCCGACACGGGGAGGUAGUGACAAUAAAUAACAAUACGGGGCUCAUUUGGGUCUCGUAAUUGGAAUGAGUACAAUUUAAAUCUCUUAACGAGGAACAAUUGGAGGGCAAGUCUGGUGCCAGCAGCCGCGGUAAUUCCAGCUCCAAUAGCGUAUAUUAAAGUUGUUGCAGUUAAAAAGCUCGUAGUUGAACUUCGGGGUCUACCCAUUGGUCAGGCUUAAUUGUCUGCACUGGUGAGAUGGAUCUCUACCUUCUGAGGAACUUUCAUGCCAUUUAUUUGGUGUGGUUGGAAAUCAGGACUGUUACUUUGAAAAAAUUAGAGUGUUUAAAGCAGACUAUCGUCUGAAUACAUUAGCAUGGAAUAAUGAAAUAGGACGGACCGAUUCUAUUUCGUUGGUUUCUAGGAUCACCGUAAUGAUUAAUAGGGAUAGUUGGGGGCAUUAGUAUUCAAUUGUCAGAGGUGAAAUUCUUGGAUUUAUUGAAGACUAACUACUGCGAAAGCAUUUGCCAAGGAUGUUUUCAUUAAUCAAGAACGAAAGUUAGGGGAUCGAAGACGAUCAGAUACCGUCGUAGUCUUAACCAUAAACUAUGCCGACUAGGGAUCGGACGAAGUUAAUUUUAUAAUGACGCGUUCGGCACCUUACGGGAAACCAAAGUGUUUGGGUUCCGGGGGGAGUAUGGUCGCAAGGCUGAAACUUAAAGGAAUUGACGGAAGGGCACCACCAGCGGUGGAGCCUGCGGCUUAAUUUGACCCAACACGGGGAAACUCACCAGGUCCAGACAUAGUAAGGAUUGACAGAUUGAGAGCUCUUUCUUGAUUCUAUGGGUGGUGGUGCAUGGCCGUUCUUAGUUGGUGGAGUGAUUUGUCUGGUUAAUUCCGAUAACGAACGAGACCUUAGCCUGCUAAAUAGUUAGGCCCUCCUUGGAGGGUCGACAACUUCUUAGAGGGACUAUUGGCAUUUAGCCAAUGGAAGUUUG
RNAcentral lists this ribosomal RNA (1281 nucleotides) under metagenome. RNAcentral's name for it is "SSU rRNA". It matches the Rfam family "Eukaryotic small subunit ribosomal RNA", at positions 146 to 1447 of the family's 1831-position model. The record is from RNAcentral.